GCUGGCGGCGUGCCUAACACAUGCAAGUCGAACGGAUCGCCCGGACAGAGUAUUUCGGUACAAAGACCGGGUGGCUGAGUGGCGGACGGGUGAGUAACGCGUGGACAACCUGCCGUGUACAGGGGGAUAACAGCCGGAAACGGCUGCUAAUACCGCAUAUGCGCACAGUGCCGCAUGGCACAGGGCGGAAAGCCUAGAUCUUAUCUAGUACGGUACACGAUGGGUCCGCGUCUGAUUAGGUAGUUGGCGGGGUAACGGCCCACCAAGCCCACGAUCAGUAGCCGGCCUGAGAGGGCGGACGGCCACACUGGGACUGAGACACGGCCCAGACUCCUGCGGGAGGCAGCAGUGGGGAAUAUUGCACAAUGGGGGGAACCCUGAUGCAGCGACGCCGCGUGAAGGAAGAAGUAUCUCGGUAUGUAAACUUCUAUCAGCAGGGAAGAAAGAGGACGGUACCUGACUAAGAAGCCCCGGCUAACUACGUGCCAGCAGCCGCGGUAAUACGUAGGGGGCGAGCGUUAUCCGGAUUUACUGGGUGUAAAGGGAGCGUAGACGGCCAUGCAAGCUCGGUGUGAAAGGUGCGGGCACAACCCGCAGACUGCACUGAGAACUGUAUGGCUGGAGUGCCGGAGGGGCAGGCGGAAUUCCUGGUGUAGCGGUGAAAUGCGUAGAUACCAGGAGGAACACCGGUGGCGAAGGCGGCCUGCUGGACGGCGACUGACGUUGAGGCUCGAAAGCGUGGGGAGCGAACAGGAUUAGAUACCCUGGUAGUCCACGCCGUAAAC
RNAcentral lists this ribosomal RNA (785 nucleotides) under uncultured bacterium. RNAcentral's name for it is "bacterial SSU rRNA". It matches the Rfam family "Bacterial small subunit ribosomal RNA", at positions 35 to 807 of the family's 1533-position model. The record is from RNAcentral.